AACAAACGCUGGCGGCGUGCCUAAUACAUGCAAGUCGAACGGGGAAAGUAGCAAUAUGAGUACUAGUGGCGCACGGGUGAGUAACGCGUGGAUAAUCUGCCUUGAAGAGGGGGAUAACUAGUCGAAAGAUUAGCUAAUACCGCAUAAGACCACAAGAACUGAGGUUCAAGGGGUCAAAGGUUUUUCGCUUCAAGAUGAGUCCGCGUAAGAUUAGCUAGUUGGUGAGGUAAUGGCUCACCAAGGCAACGAUCUUUAACUGGUCUGAGAGGAUGAUCAGUCACACUGGAACUGAGACACGGUCCAGACUCCUACGGGAGGCAGCGGUAGGGAAUAUUGCACAAUGGAGGAAACUCUGAUGCAGCGACGCCGCGUGAGUGAUGAAGGCCUUCGGGUCGUAAAGCUCUGUCGCAGGGGAAUAACACAAUGAAUGUACCCUGUAAGAAAGGAUCGGCUAACUUCGUG
RNAcentral lists this ribosomal RNA (462 nucleotides) under uncultured bacterium. RNAcentral's name for it is "partial 16S ribosomal RNA". It matches the Rfam family "Bacterial small subunit ribosomal RNA", at positions 29 to 507 of the family's 1533-position model. The record is from RNAcentral.